Molecule: long non-coding RNA, 1523 nt
Organism: Talpa occidentalis (Iberian mole)
Lineage: Eukaryota; Metazoa; Chordata; Mammalia; Eulipotyphla; Talpidae
Exons: 4
Source: RefSeq, a predicted model, not a curated record
CACAGUUGAAGCUAUGAGAGAAAUUCAGCAAUUCCCUCAUUGAACCCUCCACACAUCAGGCAAGAUAAAGUAACAACCAUGGACAUUUGUUGUGUGGACAUUUGUUGGGGUGUCUCUGAUAUCUCCUCCCAGCUUCUAACACUGAGGAUUUGAUUUUUCCCUUGGUGCAUUCAUUCCCCGCUCCCCACGAUUCUUAACUGACAGUUGGGGUGGGAUUAGCCACAGUCUUGUCUGUUAGAGAAGUCAGUAGUUACUUGUGAUGAUUGGUUCAGAGAUGAACAUGUGACCCAGUUUUGGCCAAUGGCAGAGGAUGAAUUCUAGGAUUUGUAGGGCACUGGCAAAGAGGCUCGUCUUCAUGAACAGUCUGCUGCCAUUGAAGCCACUCUGAGAUCUCAGGGUGACUUGUACCAGGUGCCAGAGACCACUAAGUGAAACUUGAAGAGAAUAUCGACAUGGAAGAGUGUGGAGUGCAAAGGAGGCAAAAUUUCUUUUUCUCAAGGGAGCACCAUAACCAUCUGAAUAUCUGGGCUCACAUUGUGUUUUCUUUGGCCUGUGGAAAUUUUGGCAAUGGCGUCUGGCUAAUAAAAAAGCAAAAAUAUGACAGAUUUAACUUCACCACAGAAACCCUCAUCUUUCUGUUGUUCCAAGUGGACUUGGUUGAUCGAAGUCAUUUCUGUUGCUUGCAACUAAAAAAUCCUCACUCAUUCACCUCACAAUAUGACUAAUACAAUUCCUGUGGAGAGGAAAUUAUAUGGACCAAUAUCCCACCCCAGAUGCUCAGCAGGUCCAGAAAUGGUCACUGUAUCUCAGGCUGGCUUGAUUUUGAGGGCUUGAAAGAUUUAAUAGCUACUCUUCAGAGAAUGCUUUCUUCGAAAUCUCUCAGAAAGUAACUCUUGCAAAGACAAAAAGCACAACAGUUGUGAUAUUGUUGAUGUGUAGAUUCAAAAUUUCCUCUAAUCCAGUCUUUCAGUGACAUCUCUAAUGGCUGAUUUUGCUUCUGAAUGUCUGGAAAAAUCAGAUCAUCAUCAUCUACCACAUUUGACCUUCAAGAUUGUGUUUUCCUGUUAAUUGAGCAUAAAGUCACAGUCUUCAUAUUUUUAUUCAAAAUGUUUCAAUGAAUUUGUUUCAUGUCCUUCAUAAUUUGGUCUUGAACUCUUUAUCAAAACCCUUUAACAUUCCAUUUCUAAACACAAAUUUGGAGAUUUUUGCUUGUUAUACACUGUGCCUCAUGAGACACUGACUUUUCUUGUCAUUUUGACACUGAUUUACCAGAAUGAACUUCGUGCAAGGUCACUCUUAUGAAAGAAUUGUUCUGAUUUGGCAGCAAAUGAUUUUCAUUUGAUUUGCUCAGUUUGGGGACCCAAUGUAUGCAUUUUAAAAAUGGUAGUAGCUUUGUCAUUAAUUACACCUUUGAUAAAGAAACAUGUAAAGAAUACAAUUGUUUGACAAUCUCAAAAAAAAAAAAAUGGUAAUAGCCAAUACUCUGCUGGCAAUUGGGUCUGGGCAUUUUCCUGAUGGGGACC